CUAAAGCAUGUGCCACCAUAUUACAAGUCUGAGGCAAGACACAACACUUGCAACAGAAAACCCACACACAACUGGGAUUUGAUACUCCUCACAAUAGCUCCUAGAUUCGCUAGAUCAUAAUCUUUAGAAUUUGCUACCCUCAUUAGAUCUAUUGAAUCCAUUUCAAACAAUACCUUUGUCGCACCCCAUAUGAAUAGCCAUUUUUAUAUCAUACAACAAAG
Molecule: long non-coding RNA, 221 nt
Filed under: Hordeum vulgare
Lineage: Eukaryota; Viridiplantae; Streptophyta; Magnoliopsida; Poales; Poaceae
Description: long non-coding RNA (HVUL_LNC002816)
Source: RNAcentral